Molecule: ribosomal RNA, 1963 nt
Filed under: human gut metagenome
Description: bacterial LSU rRNA
Rfam family: Bacterial large subunit ribosomal RNA
Source: RNAcentral
UCAAGCAAUUACAGGUCUAUGGCGGAUGCCUGGGAGCUGCAAGGCGAUGAAGGUCGUGAUAAGCUGCGAAAAGCUGCGGUGAGGAGCACAUAUCCGUUGACCCGCAGAUGACCGAAUGGGGUAACCCACCAUGCGAAUGGUAUCUGGAUGGCUGAAUAAAAUAGGCCACAGAGGCGACACUGGGUGAAGUGAACCAUCUAAGUAACCCGGGAAAGGAAAUCAAUAGAGAUUCCCCAAGUAGCGGCGAGCGAACGGGGAUGAGCCCAAACCGCUUUAAGCGGGGUUGUAGGACUGCGAUAUGAGUUUGUAAAAACCGAAAGGUAGGAGAACCGCAUGGAAAGGCGGGCCGUAGCGCGUGAGAGCCGCGUAUCCGAAACCGGACGGACUCUAGCAGAAUCCUGAGUACGGCGGGGCACGGGAAACCCAGCCGGAAUCCGGGUCGACCACGAUCCAAGGCUAAAUACUAGGCAGCUACCGAUAGCGGAGAAGUACCGUGAGGGAAAGGCGAAAAGAACCCCGGUGAGGGGAGUGAAAUAGAACCUGAAACCAUAGACUGACAAGAUGUCACAGCCCGCGAGGGUGGUGGCGUGUCUUUUGUAGAAUAAACCUGCGAGUUACGGUAUGCAGCGAGGUUAAGGGAUGGGAGUCCCGGAGCCGGAGCGAAAGCGAGUCUGAACAGGGCGCCAAGUUGCAUGCCGUAGACCCGAAGCCAAGGUGAUCUUAUCAUGGGCAGGCUGAAGGCAGGGUAAAACCUGUUGGAGGGCCGAACAGUAAUCUGUUAAAAAAGGUAGUGAUGACCUGUGAUAAGGAGUGAAAGGCUAAACAAACCUGGAGAUAGCUGGCUCUCCCCGAAAUGCCUUUAGGGACAGCCUCAUACAAAGAUGCCGGAGGUAAAGCACUGGAUGGGAGCGGGGAUGUCAAAGUCUACCAAUUCCAAUCAAACUCUGAAUGCCGGCAUCCAACGUAUGGGAGUGAGACUGUGUGCGCCAAGGUUCAUAGUCAAGAGGGAAACAGCCCAAACCGUCAGCUAAGGUCCCGAAAUAGUGCUAAGUGUUAAAUGAAGUCCGGAUGCACAGACAGCCAGGAGGUUGGCUCAGAAGCAGCCAUUCCUUGAAAGAGUGCGUAACAGCUCACUGGUCGAGCAUGCGGGCGCAGACAAUGUAACGGGGCUAAGCAUUAUACCGAAGCUGCGGAUCUUGCGCAAAGGCGCAAGGUGGUAGGGGAGCAUGCCGUCAACCGGCGAAGGCGGAUCCGCGAGGGCCGCUGGAGGAAACGGCAGAGAGAAUGCAGGCAUAAGUAACGAAAAGACGGGUGUGAUUCCCGUCCGCCGAAAACAUAAGGUUUCCAGGGUAAAGGCAAUCUGCCCUGGGUAAGUCGGAGCCUAAGUCCAGGCCGAAAGGCGUAGGCGAUGGUAAUCCGGUUCAAAAUCCGGAACCUCCGGCAUUUCGAUGCCACGACGCAUGAGGCGACGUCCGGCGGGAGAACGGUAGUUCCCGUCCAAGCAUUGAGCCGUCAAGGGAGGGGGUUAAAUGAUCCUCCCAGGCGAGAUGUGACAGCGAGCUGAGAGAAAGUCGAAGCGAAGCGGGCAGAGUCAAGGUGCCGAGAAAGAGUGGCUAGGCAAGGUGCCGGAGUCCGUACCGUAAACGGACACACGUAUGUAGGAUGAGUAAUCUAAGGCGCUCGAGCGACCUCGCGUUAAGGAACUCGGCAAAAUGCGCACGUAACUUCGGAAGAAGUGCGGCUCCUGUUUGAAAGGAUAAGGAGCGGCAGAAAGCAGGCCCAGGCGACUGUUUAUCAAAAACACAGCCAUCUGCGAACCAGCAAUGGGACGUAUAGGUGGUGACACCUGCCCGGUGCCGGAAGGUUAAGGGGAGAAGUCAGCCGCAAGGCGAAGCCUCGAACCGAAGCCCCGGUAAACGGCGGCCGUAACUAUAACGGUCCUAAGGUAGCGAAAUUCCUUGUC